Molecule: ribosomal RNA, 354 nt
Filed under: uncultured Streptococcus sp.
Lineage: Bacteria; Bacillati; Bacillota; Bacilli; Lactobacillales; Streptococcaceae
Description: bacterial SSU rRNA
Rfam family: Bacterial small subunit ribosomal RNA
Source: RNAcentral
GGGUGACAGGUGGUGCAUGGUUGUCGUCAGCUCGUGUCGUGAGAUGUUGGGUUAAGUCCCGCAACGAGCGCAACCCCUAUUGUUAGUUGCCAUCAUUCAGUUGGGCACUCUAGCGAGACUGCCGGUAAUAAACCGGAGGAAGGUGGGGAUGACGUCAAAUCAUCAUGCCCCUUAUGACCUGGGCUACACACGUGCUACAAUGGUUGGUACAACGAGUUGCGAGUCGGUGACGGCGAGCUAAUCUCUUAAAGCCAAUCUCAGUUCGGAUUGUAGGCUGCAACUCGCCUACAUGAAGUCGGAAUCGCUAGUAAUCGCGGAUCAGCACGCCGCGGUGAAUACGUUCCCGGGCCUUGU